CAGUAGCCACGGGAAUACGGAGGGAGCUAGCGUUAUUCGGAAUUACUGGGCGUAAAGCGCACGUAGGCGGCUUUGUAAGUUAGAGGUGAAAGCCUGGUGCUCAACACCAGAACUGCCUUUGAUACUGCAUCGCUUGAAUCCAGGAGAGGUGAGUGGAAUUCCGAGUGUAGAGGUGAAAUUCGUAGAUAUUCGGAAGAACACCAGUGGCGAAGGCGGCUCACUGGACUGGUAUUGACGCUGAGGUGCGAAAGCGUGGGGAGCAAACGGGAUUAGAUACCCCUGUAGUCCCUGUCUCUUAUAC
Molecule: ribosomal RNA, 301 nt
Filed under: uncultured bacterium
Lineage: Bacteria
Description: partial 16S ribosomal RNA
Rfam family: Bacterial small subunit ribosomal RNA
Source: RNAcentral